AUUGAACGCUGGCGGCAUGCUUUACACAUGCCAGUCGAACGGUAACAGCACUUCGGUGGCUGACGAGUGGCGAACGGGUGAGUAAUACAUCGGAACGUGCCUAGUAGUGGGGGAUAACUACUCGAAAGAGUAGCUAAUACCGCAUGAGAUCUAAGGAUGAAAGCAGGGGACCUUCGGGCCUUGCGCUACUAGAGCGGCUGAUGGCAGAUUAGGUAGUUGGUGGGAUAAAAGCUUACCAAGCCGACGAUCUGUAGCUGGUCUGAGAGGACGACCAGCCACACUGGGACUGAGACACGGCCCAGACUCCUACGGGAGGCAGCAGUGGGGAAUGUUGGACAAUGGGCGCAAGCCUGAUCCAGCAAUGCCGCGUGCAGGAUGAAGGCCUUCGGGUUGUAAACUGCUUUUGUACGGAACGAAAAGCCCUCUUCUAAUACAGGAGGGUCAUGACGGUACCGUAAGAAUAAGCACCGGCUAACUACGUG
RNAcentral lists this ribosomal RNA (482 nucleotides) under uncultured bacterium. RNAcentral's name for it is "partial 16S ribosomal RNA". It matches the Rfam family "Bacterial small subunit ribosomal RNA", at positions 30 to 507 of the family's 1533-position model. The record is from RNAcentral.